Molecule: ribosomal RNA, 399 nt
Filed under: Triticum aestivum (bread wheat)
Lineage: Eukaryota; Viridiplantae; Streptophyta; Magnoliopsida; Poales; Poaceae
Description: partial small subunit ribosomal RNA
Source: RNAcentral
AUGUCGGGACGGCGGUCCCGGAAGGUAGUAUGUUGGUGGAAUAUGCAGGGCAUAACGGAGCAGCGGAGGUCGAGGCGGCAGCCUCGAGAGUUCGACAACAUCGAUUGUGUUCAUCUCGUGUCGCUUGGGCGGCGAGGUUGCUCUCGAUUUUGUCGGCGGCGUCUCAAGCUUCACCUUGUGGGAGCGUCCCAAGUCUGCUCCUCUCAUAGCAGUCGUGGCUUCUUCUCUCCGGCAACAGUGGUUUCAUCUGUGUGUAUGGCGUUAGUGUGCUCCAAUGAUGGUUGUGGCAUCGUUGGCAAGUGUGGUGUGGCCUUGUGGUGUGGCGAUUCAAGUUGGCUUGGCCAUGUGACGAGUGGGGCUUGGCCCUGUUUGUAUCGGUUUUCGUCCGGUUUUCCGUAA